RNAcentral lists this ribosomal RNA (520 nucleotides) under uncultured bacterium. Its description in RNAcentral is "bacterial SSU rRNA". It matches the Rfam family "Bacterial small subunit ribosomal RNA", at positions 8 to 518 of the family's 1533-position model. The record is from RNAcentral.
AGGGUUCGAUUCUGGCUCAGAACGAACGCUGGCGGCGCGUUUAAGCAUGCAAGUCGAGCGGCAAGGGCCUUCGGGCCCCUAGAGCGGCGGACGGGUGAGUAACACGUGGACAAUCUGCCCCCCGGCCCGGGAUAGCCCAGGGAAACCUGGAUUAAUACCGGAUGAGACGGGACCCGCGAUGGCGGGAUCCGGGAAAGGCGCUGCGGCGCCGCCGGGGGAUGAGUCUGCGUCCCAUUAGCUAGGCGGCGGGGUAACGGCCCACCGUGGCGACGAUGGGUAGCCGGCCUGAGAGGGUGGACGGCCACAUUGGAACUGAGACACGGUCCAGACUCCUACGGGAGGCAGCAGCUAAGAAUCUUCCGCAAUGGGCGAAAGCCUGACGGAAGCGACGCCGCGUGAACGAAGAAGGCCGUGAGGUUGUAAAGUUCUUUUCGGGAGGGGGAACAACCGUGGCAGGGAAUGGCCGCGGGAUGACGUGAAUCCCGGAAUAAGCCCCGGCUAACUACGUGCCAGCCGCCGC